AGCUUAGAGGCCUGGCUACAUGGUAAUUAUCUUAAAGCAAAGACAAGAUACUGCUAUCAUCUUGGAGUUCAUUAUUUCCUUUUAAUACGAAUAACUUUCAUGAAGAUAGAAUGUUGUUACUUGUUGGAGAAAAACAGAUAUUACCUAUGUUACACUCAGCACUCAGCCAAUGGUUCACAUAUUGACAUGAUAUAAACUCUGUGUGAGAUGAAACAUGCUUGUCUUUAGCCCAUUGGGACCUUUUGCUUGAACUUCUUUUGGGCUUUGGAUACAGUCUCUGAAGGAGCGGAAACAUGAAAAAUUAUUAGAUUAGAACAUUGA
RNAcentral lists this unclassified non-coding RNA (321 nucleotides) under Hevea brasiliensis (rubber tree). Lineage: Eukaryota; Viridiplantae; Streptophyta; Magnoliopsida; Malpighiales; Euphorbiaceae. The record is from RNAcentral.